RNAcentral lists this ribosomal RNA (497 nucleotides) under uncultured bacterium. Its description in RNAcentral is "partial 16S ribosomal RNA". It matches the Rfam family "Bacterial small subunit ribosomal RNA", at positions 28 to 507 of the family's 1533-position model. The record is from RNAcentral.
GAUGAACGCUGGCGGCGUGCCUAAUACAUGCAAGUCGAGCGAACAGAUGAGGAGCUUGCUCCUCUGACGUUAGCGGCGGACGGGUGAGUAACACGUGGAUAACCUACCUAUAAGACUGGGAUAACUUCGGGAAACCGGAGCUAAUACCGGAUAAUAUAUUGAACCGCAUGGUUCAAUAGUGAAAGACGGUUUUGCUGUCACUUAUAGAUGGAUCCGCGCCGCAUUAGCUAGUUGGUAAGGUAACGGCUUACCAAGGCAACGAUGCGUAGCCGACCUGAGAGGGUGAUCAGCCACACUGGAACGGAGACACGGUCCAGACUCCUACGGGAGGCAGCAGUAGGGAAUCUUCCGCAAUGGGCGAAAGCCUGACGGAGCAACGCCGCGUGAGUGAUGAAGGUCUUCGGAUCGUAAAACUCUGUCAUUAGGGAAGAACAAAUGUGUAAGUAACUAUGCACGUCUUGACGGUACCUAAUCAGAAAGCCACGGCUAACUACGUG